This is a microRNA precursor of Oreochromis aureus, 69 nucleotides long. Lineage: Eukaryota; Metazoa; Chordata; Actinopteri; Cichliformes; Cichlidae. The record is from Ensembl.
UCACAGCAAGAAUGCACCAGUGAUGGCCCCUCACAGGAAGGUGGUGACACUGGUGGUGCUGAUCGCCCC